Molecule: ribosomal RNA, 541 nt
Filed under: Hygrophorus capreolarius
Lineage: Eukaryota; Fungi; Basidiomycota; Agaricomycetes; Agaricales; Hygrophoraceae
Description: eukaryotic LSU rRNA
Rfam family: 5.8S ribosomal RNA (bases 193-346)
Source: RNAcentral
GCGGAAGGAUCAUUAUUGAAUUUUUGAAGAGGUUGUCGCUGAUCUUUUAGAUAUGUGCACACCUUGUUCCAAAUUUCUACACCUGUGCACCUUUGUAGGCUGAUUUCACAAGAAAUUAGCCUACGUUUUAAUACACCCUUUGCUACUUUUAAAAGAAUGUCAUUAGCUUGUUUGGACAAGCUUAAUAAAUACAACUUUCAACAACGGAUCUCUUGGCUCUCGCAUCGAUGAAGAACGCAGCGAAAUGCGAUAAGUAAUGUGAAUUGCAGAAUUCAGUGAAUCAUCGAAUCUUUGAACGCACCUUGCGCUCCUUGGUAUUCCGAGGAGCAUGCCUGUUUGAGUGUCAUUAAAUUCUCAACCUUGAUUUAUUUAUUUCAAGGCUUGGAUUUGGAGUCUUUGCUGGCUUUUUCAAAGUCGGCUUCUCUCAAAUGUAUUAGCUUGUAUCCUUUGUGAUAGGGGCUUUGGUUUGAUAAUUAUCUAUGCCAUCGCCUUGAAGCAGAUGUCAGCUUCCAAUAGUCCUCCUUUGGACAACUUUUUUUUU